GUAGGUGGCAAGCGUUGUCCGGAAUUAUUGGGCGUAAAGCGCGCGCAGGCGGUUCUUUAAGUCUGAUGUGAAAGCCCACGGCUCAACCGUGGAGGGUCAUUGGAAACUGGAGAACUUGAGUACAGAAGAGGAAAGCGGAAUUCCACGUGUAGCGGUGAAAUGCGUAGAGAUGUGGAGGAACACCAGUGGCGAAGGCGGCUUUCUGGUCUGUAACUGACGCUGAGGCGCGAAAGCGCGGGGAGCAAACAGGGAUUAGAUACCCUGGUAGUCCACGCCGUAAACGAUGAGUGCUAAGUGUUAGGGGGGUUUCCGCCCCCUUAGUGCUGCAGCUAACGCAUUAAGCACUCCGCCUGGGGAGUACGGCCGCAAGGCUG
RNAcentral lists this ribosomal RNA (374 nucleotides) under uncultured organism. RNAcentral describes it as "partial 16S ribosomal RNA". It matches the Rfam family "Bacterial small subunit ribosomal RNA", at positions 527 to 896 of the family's 1533-position model. The record is from RNAcentral.